Haliotis rubra (blacklip abalone) is the source of this 875-nucleotide long non-coding RNA. RefSeq lists it as uncharacterized. The transcript is spliced from 2 exons. The record is from RefSeq and is a predicted model, not a curated record. NCBI's taxonomy places the organism in Eukaryota, Metazoa, Mollusca, Gastropoda, Lepetellida, Haliotidae.
GACAAGCAUAGUCGCCUUUUGUGGCAAGCAUGGGUUGCUGAAGACAUAUUCUACCCCGGAUCCUCACGGGUCUGUCAUAUGUAGUGUUGCAUAUAGUGAAUGCAUAUUGAAUACUUGCUCAUGAUAACCCAAUAACAUAAUUUGAACAAAUGACAAUUUUGUGGAUGAAAUAGAAAGAAAAACUUUAUUGCUGUCAGCGGGGCGGUGGGGUAGCCUAGUGGUUAAGGCGUUCGCUCGUCACGCCGAACACCCGGGUUCGAUUCACCACAUGGGCACAAUGUCGGCGUAAAAGUAAACUCAUUCAUUAUUGCUGUCAGCACGUUAUGUACAGUCUUAAAUGAAACCCAUGCGCUUCGUCUUCCGAGAAGCAAAUUGCUCAAUGACAAGGUCUGUGUUUACUGUCUCUGUGGACAUUGAUAGUGCAAGUGAUGACAUACGGACAUCCCCCAUUGUACGUCUUGAUUCUGCUCAUUGCUUGAUGCUGAUGUCACGGGCAUAGUGGUGAAUUGCCGAAAACGUUAAGUGUAGGCACGUCCCUAAAGUGCCUGUUAAAUGGUUUGCAAUAUGACAACGCCAUUGCAGUUUUGAAUUUAGUAUUAGUAUUGUUUCGUUGUUUAUAUUUGAGUGGAUGUGAACGGUGGGUAGGACAUUGUAUUUUUGUAAUAAUCCGAACAUCUUCAAGUUUAAGUUCCUCAUGGUGACAGACAAUGAUACACUAAUGCUCAAAGUAUGUAAACAUAUGUCUCAUAGCCUUAAAAGAAGGCAAACAUUAUUGAAUGUGUAACUAUUCUAAAUAUUAUGUAUGAUAUACCUAUUGCAAUGAACAUGUAUAUUGGCCAACGGUCUAAAGACGUGAAUAAACACACUUGGCUUGA